UAGCACUCCCCUUGACAAGAAUGCAAGAGGCCCUCGGGCCUGACAACACACAAGAUUAUUAAGGCAUUGACACCUGCUUCCAAGGACGUUUUAUU
Small nuclear RNA from Colobus angolensis palliatus, 95 nucleotides. The record is from Ensembl. NCBI's taxonomy places the organism in Eukaryota, Metazoa, Chordata, Mammalia, Primates, Cercopithecidae.